UGGGGAAUUUUACGCAAUGGGGGAAACCCUGACGUAGCGACACCGCGUGAGCGAAGAAGCCCUUUGGGGUGUAAAGCUCUGUCAACAGGAACGAAACAAAUGACGGUACCUGUGGAGGAAGCAUCGGCUAACUACGUGCCAGCAGCCGCGGUAAGACGUAGGAUGCAAGCGUUGUCCGGAUUUAUUGGGCGUAAAGAGUUCGUAGGCGGUUUGUUAAGUCUGAUGUUAAAGACCGGGGCUCAACCUCGGAAAUGCAUUGGAUACUGGCAGACUGGAGUGCAGUAGAGGCUAGUGGAAUUCCCAGUGUAGCGGUGAAAUGCGUAGAUAUUGGGAAGAACACCGGUGGCGUAGGCGACUAGCUGGGCUGUAACUGACGCUGAGGAACGAAAGCCAGGGGGAGCAAAUGGGGAUUAGAUACCCCCAGUAGUCCUGGCCGUAAAACGAUGGAUACUAGGCGUAGUGGGGUAUCGACCCCCUGCUGUGCCGCAGCUAACGCGAUAAGUAUCCCGCCUGAGUAGUACGGCCGCAAGGUUGAAACUCAAAGGAAUUGACGGGGUCAUAGCUGUUUCCU
This 571-nucleotide ribosomal RNA is filed under the name uncultured bacterium. Its description in RNAcentral is "partial 16S ribosomal RNA". It matches the Rfam family "Bacterial small subunit ribosomal RNA", at positions 355 to 1375 of the family's 1533-position model. The record is from RNAcentral.